This 518-nucleotide long non-coding RNA is filed under the name Rattus norvegicus (Norway rat). RNAcentral's name for it is "long non-coding RNA NONRATT026754". The record is from RNAcentral. Lineage: Eukaryota; Metazoa; Chordata; Mammalia; Rodentia; Muridae.
UUGUUGGAGGAGGUAUAUCGCUGUGGGAGUGAGUUUUUGAGGUCUCCUAUACUCAAGCUAUGCCCAGUAUGGAACACAGCCUCCUGCUACUGCCUAUGGAUCAAGAUGUAGAGCUCUCGGCUCCUUCUCCAGCACUGUGUCUGCCCGCGUGCUGCCAAGAUGAUAAUGGACCAAACCUCUGUAACUGUAAGCCGGGACUUAUUAAAUGUUUUUCUUUACGAGUCACCAUGGUCAUUGGUGUUUCUUCACAACAAUAGCGGCCCUAAGAUGAGGAGGAGGGGGAGGAGGGAGGAGCCGCUAGACUGCUGGCUUAGCAAUUAACAGCACUUGCUGCUCCUGCAGAGGACUAGAAUUUGGUUUCCAGAAUCCACACUGGGCAUCUGACAACCUCCUGUAGUUCCGGCUCCCAGAGAGCUCCCUCUUCUGGCCUCCAUGGGUACUUGCACUCGUGCACGUGCCCACACUUGGCCAUACAUGUACACAAUUAAAAAUAAAAAUUAGAGAAAAAAAAAAAAAAA